RNAcentral lists this ribosomal RNA (407 nucleotides) under uncultured bacterium. Its description in RNAcentral is "bacterial SSU rRNA". It matches the Rfam family "Bacterial small subunit ribosomal RNA", at positions 355 to 774 of the family's 1533-position model. The record is from RNAcentral.
UGGGGAAUAUUGGACAAUGGGCGAAAGCCUGAUCCAGCAACGCCGCGUGAGGGAUGACGGCCUUCGGGUUGUAAACCUCUUUCAGCAGGGACGAAGCGAAAGUGACGGUACCUGCAAAAGAAGCACCGGCCAACUACGUGCCAGCAGCCGCGGUAAUACGUAGGGUGCGAGCGUUGUCCGGAAUUAUUGGGCGUAAAGGGCUCGUAGGCGGUUUGUCACGUCGGGAGUGAAAACUCGGGGCUCAACCCCGAGCUUGCUUCCGAUACGGGCUAACUAGAGGUAUGCAGGGGAGAACGGAAUUCCUGGUGUAGCGGUGAAAUGCGCAGAUAUCAGGAGGAACACCGGUGGCGAAGGCGGUUCUCUGGGCAUUACCUGACGCUGAGGAGCGAAAGUGUGGGGAGCGAACA